GGUGUUAGCGGCGGACGGGUGAGUAACACUGUGCGGUAACCUCGACUGUAAGACUGGGAUAACUCCGGGAAACCGGGGCUAAUACCGGAUGGUUGUUUGAACCGCAUGGUUCAAACAUAAAAGGUGGCUUCGGCUACCACUUACAGAUGGACCCGCGGCGCAUUAGCUAGUUGGUGAGGUAACGGCUCACCAAGGCGACGAUGCGUAGCCGACCUGAGAGGGUGAUCGGCCACACUGGGACUGAGACACGGCCCAGACUCCUACGGGAGGCAGCAGUAGGGAAUCUUCCGCAAUGGACGAAAGUCUGACGGAGCAACGCCGCGUGAGUGAUGAAGGUUUUCGGAUCGUAAAGCUCUGUUGUUAGGGAAGAACAAGUACCGUUCGAAUAGGGCGGUACCUUGACGGUACCUAACCAGAAAGCCACGGCUAACUACGUGCCAGCAGCCGCGGUAAUACGUAGGUGGCAAGCGUUGUCCGGAAUUAUUGGGCGUAAAGGGCUCGCAGGCGGUUUCUUAAGUCUGAUGUGAAAGCCCCCGGCUCAACCGGGGAGGGUCAUUGGAAACUGGGGAACUUGAGUGCAGAAGAGGAGAGUGGAAUUCCACGUGUAGCGGUGAAAUGCGUAGAGAUGUGGAGGAACACCAGUGGCGAAGGCGACUCUCUGGUCUGUAACUGACGCUGAGGAGCGAAAGCGUGGGGAGCGAACAGGAUUAGAUACCCUGGUAGUCCACGCCGUAAACGAUGAGUGCUAAGUGUUACGGGGUUUCCGCCCCUUAGUGCUGCAGCUAACGCAUUAAGCACUCCGCCUGGGGGAGUACGGUCGCAAGACUGAACUCAAGGAAUUGACGGGGGCCCGCACAAGCGGUGGAGCAUGUGG
This 874-nucleotide ribosomal RNA is filed under the name Bacillus subtilis. RNAcentral describes it as "bacterial SSU rRNA". It matches the Rfam family "Bacterial small subunit ribosomal RNA", at positions 88 to 944 of the family's 1533-position model. The record is from RNAcentral. Lineage: Bacteria; Bacillati; Bacillota; Bacilli; Caryophanales; Bacillaceae.